This 54-nucleotide small nucleolar RNA is filed under the name Salix viminalis (osier). Lineage: Eukaryota; Viridiplantae; Streptophyta; Magnoliopsida; Malpighiales; Salicaceae. The record is from RNAcentral.
UAGAUUGAUGAUCUCACAGACUAGGGUCUAUGAGAUUAGGAACCAUUAUUCCUA